AGUGCUAGACUUGUUUUUUGCGCUUGAUUGACGGCUCUUCUUCGUAGGGCGACGUGUAUUCGUUGCACUUGCGGGCGUUGUUUAAAGUGCUUGAUUUUAACCACCUGAGUUGGGUAUGAUUACCUGCUGAACUUAAGCAUAUCAGUAAGCAGAGGAAAAGAAACAAACAUGGAUUCCCUUAGUAACGGCGAGUGAAA
RNAcentral lists this ribosomal RNA (197 nucleotides) under Bursaphelenchus paraburgeri. RNAcentral's name for it is "partial 28S ribosomal RNA". The stretch from base 100 to 197 matches the Rfam family "Eukaryotic large subunit ribosomal RNA", at positions 1 to 98 of the family's 3401-position model. Lineage: Eukaryota; Metazoa; Nematoda; Chromadorea; Rhabditida; Aphelenchoididae. The record is from RNAcentral.